This 557-nucleotide ribosomal RNA is filed under the name uncultured archaeon. Its description in RNAcentral is "bacterial SSU rRNA". It matches the Rfam family "Archaeal small subunit ribosomal RNA", at positions 321 to 879 of the family's 1478-position model. The record is from RNAcentral.
CCCUACGGGGCGCAGCAGGCGCGAAACCUUCACAAUGUGCGAAAGCACGAUGAGGGGAUCCCAAGUGUUGGUUCGUAAGAAUCAACUGUUUCUCCGUCUAAAAAACAGAGAGAGUAAGAACUGGGUAAGACGGGUGCCAGCCGCCGCGGUAAUACCUGCAGUUCAAGUGGUGGCCACUAUUAUUGGGCCUAAAACGUCCGUAGCCGGUUCAGUAAAUGCCUGAGUAAAUUGUGUAGCUUAACUAUACGAAUAUCGGGUAGACUGCUAAACUUGAGACCGGGAGAGGCUAGGGGUACUCCUAGGGUAGAGGUGAAAUUCUGUAAUCCUAGGGGGACCACCAGUGGCGAAGGCGUCUAGCCAGAACGGGUCUGACGGUGAGGGACGAAGCCCUGGGUCACAAACCGGAUUAGAUACCCGGGUAGUCCAGGGUGUAAACGCUGCUCGCUUGAUGUUAGUUGGGCUCCGAGCCCAACUAGUGUCGGAGAGAAGUUGUUAAGCGAGCUGCCUGGGAAGUACGGUCGCAAGGCUGAAACUUAAAGGAAUUGGCGGGGGAGCAC